AUCCCAUGAUGAGGAUAGGCGGCGACUUACUCCUGCAGACGCUCCCAAGCUUCUGGUAUGGAUUCCUCCUUCAUCUCCUGGAAAUUAGAAAUCCUCCCGCGAAGGGC
RNAcentral lists this small nucleolar RNA (107 nucleotides) under Leersia perrieri. RNAcentral's name for it is "Plant small nucleolar RNA R71". It matches the Rfam family "Plant small nucleolar RNA R71". From Rfam's summary of the family: R71 is a member of the C/D box family of snoRNAs containing the C (UGAUGA) and D (CUGA) box motifs. The record is from Rfam by way of RNAcentral. Lineage: Eukaryota; Viridiplantae; Streptophyta; Magnoliopsida; Poales; Poaceae.